RNAcentral lists this ribosomal RNA (395 nucleotides) under uncultured bacterium. RNAcentral describes it as "partial 16S ribosomal RNA". It matches the Rfam family "Bacterial small subunit ribosomal RNA", at positions 338 to 730 of the family's 1533-position model. The record is from RNAcentral.
CCUACGGGAGGCAGCAGUGAGGAAUAUUGGUCAAUGGGAGUAAGCCUGAACCAGCCAAGUCGCGUGAGGGAUGAAGGUUCUAUGGGUCGUAAACCUCUUUUAUCAGGGAAUAAAGUGUGGGACGUGUCCUAUUUUGUAUGUACCUUAUGAAUAAGGAUCGGCUAACUCCGUGCCAGCAGCCGCGGUAAUACGGAGGAUCCGAGCGUUAUCCGGAUUUAUUGGGUUUAAGGGGUGCGUAGGCGGCCUUUUAAGUCAGCGGUGAAAGUUGGGGGCCUAACCAUGGAAGGGCCGUUGAAACUGGCGGGCUUGAGUAGGUGUGAGGUAGGCGGAAUGCGCGGUGUAGCGGUGAAAUGCAUAGAUAGCGCGCAGAACCCCGAUUGCGAAGGCAGCCUGCC